RNAcentral lists this ribosomal RNA (253 nucleotides) under uncultured bacterium. Its description in RNAcentral is "partial 16S ribosomal RNA". It matches the Rfam family "Bacterial small subunit ribosomal RNA", at positions 524 to 776 of the family's 1533-position model. The record is from RNAcentral.
UACGUAGGGACCAAGCGUUGUUCGGAUUUACUGGGCGUAAAGGGCGCGUAGGCGGCGCGGUAAGUCACUUGUGAAAUCUCUGGGCUUAACUCGGAACGGUCAGCUGAUACUGCUUUGCUAGAGUGCAGAAGGGGCAAUCGGAAUUCUUGGUGUAGCGGUGAAAUGCGUAGAUAUCAAGAGGAACGCCUGAGGUGAAGACGGGUUGCUGGGCUGACACUGACGCUGAGGCACGAAAGCUAGGGGAGCAAACGGG